AUGAACCCCUCCUCGGCGCCGGGCCCUGACGGUCUUCCGGUCAUCUUCUUCCAGACCUUCUGGAACGUGAUUAAGCCUGAGAUCAUGGCCAUCUUCGAGGAAUUCUUCAUGGGCUCGAUUGACCUUGGCCGCCUCAACUUUGGGACCAUCUCCCUCAUUCCCAAGGUCCCUGGGGCGACGGACAUCCGCCAGUUCCGCCCGAUUACGGUCAUCAACGUGAUCUUCCGGAUCCUGGCCAAGGGGUACGCCAAUAGGGUGACCCUGCUUGCUGACCGGAUCACUCACCCUAACCAAUCUGCGUUCAUUAAGGGCCGGUACAUCCUAGAUGGUGUCCUGGUCCUGCAUGAGGUCCUUCAUGAAGUCCGGGUCAAACACCUGAAGGCGGUCUUUCUGAAAAUCGAUUUUCACAAGGCCUAUGACACGGUUAGCUGGUCCUUCCUUAGGGAAGUUCUUCUGCGAAAGGGCUUUGACGACCGGUGGAUCAUGAGAGUC
Molecule: ribosomal RNA, 492 nt
Filed under: Triticum aestivum (bread wheat)
Lineage: Eukaryota; Viridiplantae; Streptophyta; Magnoliopsida; Poales; Poaceae
Description: partial small subunit ribosomal RNA
Source: RNAcentral